UACGGAGGGUGCUAGCGUUGUUCGGAAUUACUGGGCGUAAAGCGCGCGUAGGUGGUUUGUUAAGUUGGAUGUGAAAUCCCCGGGCUCAACCUGGGAACUGCAUUCAAAACUGACAAGCUAGAGUAUGGUAGAGGGUGGUGGAAUUUCCUGUGUAGCGGUGAAAUGCGUAGAUAUAGGAAGGAACACCAGUGGCGAAGGCGACCACCUGGACUGAUACUGACACUGAGGUGCGAAAGCGUGGGGAGCAAACAGG
This 253-nucleotide ribosomal RNA is filed under the name uncultured bacterium. RNAcentral describes it as "partial 16S ribosomal RNA". It matches the Rfam family "Bacterial small subunit ribosomal RNA", at positions 524 to 776 of the family's 1533-position model. The record is from RNAcentral.